RNAcentral lists this ribosomal RNA (478 nucleotides) under uncultured bacterium. Its description in RNAcentral is "bacterial SSU rRNA". It matches the Rfam family "Bacterial small subunit ribosomal RNA", at positions 53 to 518 of the family's 1533-position model. The record is from RNAcentral.
ACAUGCAAGUCGAGGGCGAGCAUGAUCGAAGCUUGCUUUGAUUGAUGGCGACCGGCGCACGGGUGAGUAACGCGUAUCCAACCUUCCCUACUAGUAGAGAAUAGCCCGGCGAAAGUCGGAUUAAUGCUCUAUGUUGUAUUUAGAGGACAUCUGAAGAAUACCAAAGGUUUACCGCUAUAGGAUGGGGGAUGCGUCUGAUUAGGUUGUUGGCGGGGUAACGGCCCACCAAGCCCACGAUCAGUAGGGUUCUGAGAGGAAGGUCCCCCACAUUGGAACUGAGACACGGUCCAAACUCCUACGGGAGGCAGCAGUGAGGAAUAUUGGUCAAUGGACGCAAGUCUGAACCAGCCAAGUAGCGUUGCAGGAUGACGGCCCUAUGGGUUGUAAACUGCUUUUAUACAGGGAUAAAGUGAGGGACGUGUCCCUUUUUGUAGGUACUGUAUGAAUAAGGACCGGCUAAUUCCGUGCCAGCCGCAGC